Molecule: unclassified non-coding RNA, 253 nt
Filed under: uncultured Pirellulaceae bacterium
Lineage: Bacteria; Pseudomonadati; Planctomycetota; Planctomycetia; Pirellulales; Pirellulaceae
Description: contains 16S-23S intergenic spacer region
Rfam family: Bacterial small subunit ribosomal RNA
Source: RNAcentral
UACAGAGGGUGCGAGCGUUAUUCGGAAUUACUGGGCUUAAAGGGUACGUAGGCGGUCCGUUAAGUGGGGUGUGAAAUCCCUCGGCUCAACCGAGGAACUGCGCCCCAUACUGGCGGACUCGAGGGAGACAGAGGUGAGUGGAACUGAUGGUGGAGCGGUGAAAUGCGUUGAUAUCAUCAGGAACACCAGUGGCGAAAGCGGCUCACUGGGUCUCUUCUGACGCUGAGGUACGAAAGCUAGGGGAGCGAACGGG